Non-coding RNA from Pelobates cultripes (western spadefoot toad), 685 nucleotides. Lineage: Eukaryota; Metazoa; Chordata; Amphibia; Anura; Pelobatidae. The record is from the annotation of a GenBank genome assembly.
GCCACGCUUUGUAAUGACAGCUUGAUAUGUGUAUAAAGCUGUUUACGUCCACGGUUUUGAAAUAGGUACUAGUUUUAAUUUUAUUUCUUUCAAUGAAUAUAUUGAGAUCUAGAAAUACGGUUUGUUUUUUACUAUAAUUUGUGGUGAUGAUUCCUCCUUCAUAAUUAUUAUGGUUAUAAAUGACAUUUUUCAAAGUGUCUUCCGUGCCAUUCCAGAUAAAAAACAAAUUAUCUAUGUACCGGCGAUAGGUCACCAGGCCCUCCACCCAGCCAUGAUCCCGCAAUAUGAAAUGGCGUUCCCAAAUAGCUACAAAUAAGUUCACGUGGCUGGGUGCAAACCUGGUGCCCAUCGCCGUACCACAGGAUUGUAAAUAAAAAACUUCAUUAUACCAAAAAUAGUUACUGGCUAAAAUUAACUCGAUUCCCUCUAUUAUAAAAUCUAUCUGUUCAGGUUUAAAACAUUUUGAUUGUCCCAGGAAAUACCUAACUGCUGUGCAGCCUUUUUGGUGGGAUAUUAUGGUAUAUAAUGAGCUGACAUCAGCAGUUACAAGGUAAUACUCCUCUUUCCAGGUGAUGUUUUCAAUUUUCCUUAAAAUGCUUCCUGCAUCUUUUAAGUAGCUAGGUGUCUUUUGUACUAUCGGCUGUAGACAUUUAUUUAUGUAUUCAGACAGCCUACUAGAUAUGAG